UCUCGAGUGGCCUCCUGAGGGGCCGGAGGUGCUCCCUGCGUUUUGGUCUGCGCUUCCCUGAUGACCAGUGUGUCGAGUGUCUUCUCAGGAGCUCAUGGUCACUUACAGGGUCUUGACAAGUUGCUCAAACUGGCCUCAAACCUGCGAUGGUCCUGCGUCAGUGUCCCAGUGGCCAGGCGUACAGAGGGGCCACCAUGCUUGGCUGCCCGCUCCUUCCUCUCCCCUGUGAAUACCAGUCUGAGCACCUUGGUGUAGACGCGUUCACUCCCCACUCAGGACCCUGGCACCCGGGGGACGUCAGCUCUCACAGAGGCCCAGGAGCGCUCUGGACUCUCUGUUCCACUCUGCACCGAGGCCAGGACCACACUGUGUGGACCUCAUUGCCCUUGGGACGGACGGGAUUCUCACUGGGAUCCUGUUGAAUCUGGGGAGAGGAGCAGAGCCCUGAGAACAGGCAGGCCUUUCAAUCCAUGAACACGGAGGCUUCCCACUCAUUAAGGUCUUCUUCGAUUCAUUUCAGCCAUGAUUUGUAAUAUUUAUAUUUGUUCUAUUAAAUUUAUUCCUAAGUAUUUUA
Molecule: non-coding RNA, 574 nt
Organism: Ictidomys tridecemlineatus (thirteen-lined ground squirrel)
Lineage: Eukaryota; Metazoa; Chordata; Mammalia; Rodentia; Sciuridae
Source: RefSeq, a predicted model, not a curated record